RNAcentral lists this ribosomal RNA (254 nucleotides) under uncultured bacterium. Its description in RNAcentral is "partial 16S ribosomal RNA". It matches the Rfam family "Bacterial small subunit ribosomal RNA", at positions 524 to 776 of the family's 1533-position model. The record is from RNAcentral.
GACAGAGGUGGCUAGCGUUGUUCGGAUUCAUUGGGUGUAAAGGGUGCGUAGGCGGUUUAGAAAGUCAGAUGUGAAAGCCCACAGCUUAACUGUGGAACUGCAUCUGAAACUUCUGAACUUGAGUGCGAGAGAGGUAAAGGGAAUUCCCGGUGUAAGGGUGAAAUCUGCAGAGAUCGGGAGGAACACCAGUAGCGAAGGCGCUUUACUGGCUCGUAACUGACGCUGAGUGAACGAAGGUAUGGGGAGCAAACGGG